CAAAAUCAGUGCAGUUUGAACAUAAACUUUCUGACAGAGCGAUGGCGCAGAGCCCGCUGUUCCUGGGAAAAGCCACCUGCCAAUCAUCCUUGGAGCAGCAGCCAUUCUCAGGAUCUCCUACAUCACAGAUCACCUAAUAAACACAGGACCUGUCGACGACUGGAGAAAAGGAGAAACGCUGAAGCACACUGGGCAUUUUGGAAGCAUUUCAUCAUAAUAAAUUACCUUUGCCUUUACA
This is a long non-coding RNA of Brienomyrus brachyistius, 238 nucleotides long. RefSeq lists it as uncharacterized. The transcript is spliced from 2 exons. The record is from RefSeq and is a predicted model, not a curated record. Lineage: Eukaryota; Metazoa; Chordata; Actinopteri; Osteoglossiformes; Mormyridae.